UGUAAUGGUUUCCUAUAUGCGCUCUGCAGAG
Molecule: non-coding RNA, 31 nt
Filed under: Rattus norvegicus (Norway rat)
Lineage: Eukaryota; Metazoa; Chordata; Mammalia; Rodentia; Muridae
Source: RNAcentral